This 494-nucleotide ribosomal RNA is filed under the name uncultured bacterium. RNAcentral's name for it is "partial 16S ribosomal RNA". It matches the Rfam family "Bacterial small subunit ribosomal RNA", at positions 29 to 523 of the family's 1533-position model. The record is from RNAcentral.
AUGAACGCUAGCGGGAGGCCUAACACAUGCAAGCCGAGCGGUAGAGAUCUUUCGGGAUCUUGAGAGCGGCGUACGGGUGCGGAACACGUGUGCAACCUGCCUUUAUCUGGGAGAUAGCCUUUCGAAAGGAAGAUUAAUACCCCAUAAUAUAUGAUUCGGCAUCGGAUUCUAUUGAAAGCUCCGGCGGAUAGAGAUGGGCACGCGCAAGAUUAGAUAGUUGGUGAGGUAACGGCUCACCAAGUCAGUGAUCUUUAGGGGGCCUGAGAGGGUGAUCCCCCAAACUGGUACUGAGACACGGACCAGACUCCUACGGGAGGCAGCAGUGAGGAAUAUUGGACAAUGGGUGAAAGCCUGAUCCAGCCAUCCCGCGUGAAGGACGACGGCCCUAUGGGUUGUAAACUUCUUUUGUAUAGGGAUAAACCUACCCUCGUGAGGGUAGCUGAAGGUACUAUACGAAUAAGCACCGGCUAACUCCGUGCCAGCAGCCGCCGUAA